This 480-nucleotide ribosomal RNA is filed under the name uncultured bacterium. RNAcentral describes it as "SSU rRNA". It matches the Rfam family "Bacterial small subunit ribosomal RNA", at positions 26 to 518 of the family's 1533-position model. The record is from RNAcentral.
AGGACGAACGCUGGCGGCGUGCCUAACACAUGCAAGUGGAGCGACGAACCAGGCUUCGGCCUGGGGCAAAGCCGCGAAUGGGUGAGUAACACGUGGGUAACCUGCCCCGAUGAUCGGGACAACCCGAGGAAACUCGGGCUAAUACCGAAUGUGCCCUACGGCCUCAAGGCUGCUGGGGAAAGGAAGCUUCGGCCUUCGCAUCGGGAUGGGCCCGCGGCCCAUUAGCUUGUUGGUGAGGUAAAGGCUCACCAAGGCAACGAUGGGUAGCUGGUCUGAGAGGACGAUCAGCCACACUGGGACUGAGACACGGCCCAAACUCCUACGGGAGGCAGCAGUGGGGAAUAUUGGACAAUGGGGGCAACCCUGAUCCAGCAAUGCCGCGUGUGUGAAGAAGGUCUUCGGAUUGUAAAGCACUUUCGACGGGACGAUGAUGACGGUACCCGUAUAAGAAGCCCCGGCUAACUUCGUGCCAGCAGCCGC